GGCGGACGGGUGAGUAACACAUGGGUAACCUGCCUGUAAGACUGGGAUAACUCCGGGAAACCGGAGCUAAUACCGGAUAGUUCCUUGAACCGCAUGGUUCAAGGAUGAAAGACGGUUUCGGCUGUCACUUACAGAUGGACCCGCGGCGCAUUAGCUACUUAGUGGGGUAAUGGCUCACCAAGGCGAGAUGCGUAGCCGACCUGAGAGGGUGAUCGGCCACACUGGGACUGAGAACACGGCCCAGACUUCUACGGGAGGCAGCAGUAGGGAAUCUUCCGCAAUGGACGAAAGUCUGACGGAGCAACGCCGCGUGAGUGAAGAAUGGUUUUCGGAUCGUAAAGCUCUGUUGUUAGGGGAAGAACAAGUGCGAGAGUAACUGCUCGCACCUUGACGGUACCUUACCGAGCAGACACGGCUAACUACGUGCCAGCAGCCGCGGUAAUACGUAGGUGGCAAGCGUUGUCCGGAAUUAUUGGGCGUAAAGGGCUCGCAGGCGGUUUCUUAAGUCUGAUGUGAAAGCCCCCGGCUCAACCGGGAAGGGUCAUUGGAAACUGGGAAACUUGAGUGCAGAAGAGGAGAGUGGAAUUCCACGUGUAGCGGUGAAAUGCGUAGAGAUGUGGAGGAACACCAUGUGGCGAAGGCGACUCU
This 648-nucleotide ribosomal RNA is filed under the name uncultured bacterium. RNAcentral's name for it is "bacterial SSU rRNA". It matches the Rfam family "Bacterial small subunit ribosomal RNA", at positions 97 to 728 of the family's 1533-position model. The record is from RNAcentral.